AUACAAGGCAUACGGCUCAGUAACGCGUAGUCAACCUAACCUAUGGACGGGAAUAACCUCGGGAAACUGAGAAUAAUGCCCGAUAGAACAUUAUGCCUGGAAUGGUUUAUGUUCCAAAUGAUUUAUCGCCGUAGGAUGGGACUGCGGCCUAUCAGUUUGUUGGUGAGGUAAUGGCCCACCAAGACUAUUACAGGUACGGGCUCUGAGAGGAGUAGCCCGGAGAUGGGUACUGAGACACGGACCCAGGCCCUAUGGGGCGCAGCAGGCGAGAAAACUUUGCAAUGUGCGAAAGCACGACAAGGUUAAUCCGAGUGGUUUCUGCUAAAGAAACCUUUUGUCAGUCCUAGAAACACUGAUGAAUAAGGGGUGGGCAAGUUCUGGUGUCAGCCGCCGCGGUAAAACCAGCACCUCAAGUGGUCAGGAUGAUUAUUGGGCCUAAAGCAUCCGUAGCCGGCUCUGUAAGUUUUCGGUUAAAUCUGUACGCUCAACGUACAGGCUGCCGGGAAUACUGCAGAGCUAGGGAGUGGGAGAGGUAGACGGUACUCGGUAGGAAGGGGUAAAAUCCUUUGAUCUAUUGAUGACCACCUGUGGCGAAGGCGGUCUACCAAAACACGUCCGACGGUGAGGGAUGAAAGCUGGGGGAGCAAACCGGAUUAGAUACCCGGGUAGUCCCAGCUG
This 678-nucleotide ribosomal RNA is filed under the name uncultured crenarchaeote. RNAcentral's name for it is "bacterial SSU rRNA". It matches the Rfam family "Archaeal small subunit ribosomal RNA", at positions 74 to 753 of the family's 1478-position model. The record is from RNAcentral. Lineage: Archaea; Thermoproteati; Thermoproteota.